AGUGAACGCUGGCGGUAGGCCUAACACAUGCAAGUCGAACGGCAGCACAGUAAGAGCUUGCUCUUACGGGUGGCGAGUGGCGGACGGGUGAGGAAUACAUCGGAAUCUACUUUUUCGUGGGGGAUAACGUAGGAAACUUACGCUAAUACCGCAUACGACCUACGGGUGAAAGCAGGGGAUCUUCGGACCUUGCGCGAUUGAAUGAGCCGAUGUCGGAUUAGCUAGUUGGCGGGGUAAGGGCCCACCAAGGCGACGAUCCGUAGCUGGUCUGAGAGGAUGAUCAGCCACACUGGAACUGAGACACGGUCCAGACUCCUACGGGAGGCAGCAGUGGGGAAUAUUGGACAAUGGGCGCAAGCCUGAUCCAGCCAUACCGCGUGGGUGAAGAAGGCCUUCGGGUUGUAAAGCCCUUUUGUUGGGAAAGAAAAGCAGCAGGUUAAUACCCCGCUGUUCUGACGGUACCCAAAGAAUAAGCACCGGCUAACUUCGUG
This 491-nucleotide ribosomal RNA is filed under the name uncultured bacterium. Its description in RNAcentral is "partial 16S ribosomal RNA". It matches the Rfam family "Bacterial small subunit ribosomal RNA", at positions 29 to 507 of the family's 1533-position model. The record is from RNAcentral.